This 519-nucleotide long non-coding RNA is filed under the name Apteryx owenii (little spotted kiwi). Its description in RNAcentral is "lncRNA (ENSAOWG00000017606.1)". Lineage: Eukaryota; Metazoa; Chordata; Aves; Apterygiformes; Apterygidae. The record is from RNAcentral.
GAACAGCAGGGCCGCAUGGUGUCAUAAUGAUCGCAGUGCCACUGGGAGAACAUUCUUUGAUUUAAGCUUUUGGAAAUCAAGAGAGGGAUUUCAUUCAGUGUCUCCCCCAUCCCUAUGUGGAAGUUUUUGAUUUAUUCCUUGAGUGACUGCUCUCUCUGGACGGGCUCUCCCUUCCCCUCUCCUGAAAGAAGGAAAAAAUAAGGAAAAGAGGAGCAAGGAAAAGAAUGAAUGGUUGCACGAUGCAGUAUCUGGGUGAGAUGUGCUGUCCUCCGGGCCACCUGCCCCCAACAGUGCCCAGCUCUGUCACAACUGCACAGUCUUGCAGUGCAGCACUGGCUUGUUCCCAGCGAUAACAACAUCUGCUGAGGCUGGAUGGAGAAGGGUGUCAGUCCAGGGUGUAACCGCCUCUCCUUCCCAGUGCCAGUGCUCUGCGUGAGCUCAUGCAAGGUGGAGGAGUUCAGCUCAGGACCUCACCCAGAAUCUUUGCUGUGUUCGUCACGAGUUACCACCUUUUGUGCA